GACGAACGCUGGCGGCGUGCUUAACACAUGCAAGUCGAACGGAAAGGCCCUGCUUUUGUGGGGUGCUCGAGUGGCGAACGGGUGAGUAACACGUGAGUAACCUGCCCUUGACUUUGGGAUAACUUCAGGAAACUGGGGCUAAUACCGGAUAGGAGCUCCUGCUGCAUGGUGGGGGUUGGAAAGUUUCGGCGGUUGGGGGUGGACUCGCGGCUUAUCAGCUUGUUGGUGGGGUAGUGGCUUACCAAGGCUUUGACGGGUAGCCGGCCUGAGAGGGUGACCGGCCACAUUGGGACUGGGAUACGGCCCAGACUCCUACGGGAGGCAGCAGUGGGGAAUAUUGCACAAUGGGCGGAAGCCUGAUGCAGCAACGCCGCGUGCGGGAUGACGGCCUUCGGGUUGUAAACCGCUUUCGCCUGUGACGAAGCGUGAGUGACGGUAAUGGGUAAAGAAGCACCGGCUAACUACGUG
This 468-nucleotide ribosomal RNA is filed under the name uncultured bacterium. RNAcentral describes it as "partial 16S ribosomal RNA". It matches the Rfam family "Bacterial small subunit ribosomal RNA", at positions 28 to 507 of the family's 1533-position model. The record is from RNAcentral.